GAUGAGAACGUAGCGAAAUGCGAUAAGUAAUGUGAAUUGCAGAAUUCAGUGAAUCAUCGAAUCUUUGAACGCACAUUGCGCCCCCCAGUAUUCUGGCGGGCAUGCCUGUUCGAGCGUCAUUUCAACCAUCAAGCCCUGCUUGUGUUGGGGUCCUGCGGCUGCCCGCAGGCCCUGAAAACCAGUGGCGGGCUCGCUAGUCACACCGAGCGCAGUAGCACAUCUCGCUCAGGGCGUGCGGCGGGCUCCAGCCGUUAAAGCACCCACCUUUCGCAAGGUUGACCUCGGAUCAGGUAGGAAUACCCGCUGAACUUAAGCAUAUCAAUAAGCGGAGGA
Molecule: unclassified non-coding RNA, 333 nt
Filed under: soil metagenome
Description: partial contains 5.8S ribosomal RNA, internal transcribed spacer 2, and large subunit ribosomal RNA
Rfam family: 5.8S ribosomal RNA (bases 5-119)
Source: RNAcentral